This 400-nucleotide ribosomal RNA is filed under the name uncultured bacterium. Its description in RNAcentral is "bacterial SSU rRNA". It matches the Rfam family "Bacterial small subunit ribosomal RNA", at positions 355 to 747 of the family's 1533-position model. The record is from RNAcentral.
UGGGGAAUAUUGGACAAUGGGGGGAACCCUGAUCCAGCAAUGCCGCGUGUGUGAAGAAGGCCUGAGGGUUGUAAAGCACUUUAGUUGGGGAGGAGGGUAUAAAGGUUAAGAGCUAUUAUACUGGACGUUACCCAAAGAAUAAGCACCGGCUAACUCCGUGCCAGCAGCCGCGGUAAUACGGAGGGUGCAAGCGUUAAUCGGAAUGACUGGGCGUAAAGGGUGCGUAGGUGGUUUAAUAAGUUAACUGUGAAAGCCCUGGGCUCAACCUGGGAAGGCCAGUUAAGACUGUAAGACUCGAGUACAGGAGAGGGUAGUGGAAUUUCCGGUGUAGCGGUGAAAUGCGUAGAGAUCGGAAGGAACACCAGUGGCGAAGGCGGCUACCUGGCCUGAUACUGACACU